UUUUAGCCCCGAUAAAGGCGGUAUCCUUUUUUGAGACAAUUUUUCUUUGUCUCAAAAAAGAUAUAGCCGAAAGCGGGAAAUAGC
RNAcentral lists this small RNA (84 nucleotides) under Flavobacterium sp. 81. Its description in RNAcentral is "Flavo-1 RNA". It matches the Rfam family "Flavo-1 RNA". Lineage: Bacteria; Pseudomonadati; Bacteroidota; Flavobacteriia; Flavobacteriales; Flavobacteriaceae. The record is from RNAcentral. RNAcentral also lists the same sequence under 1 other name.